CCUACGGGAGGCAGCAGUGGGGAAUAUUGCACAAUGGGGGAAACCCUGAUGCAGCGACGCCGCGUGAGUGAAGAAGUAAUUCGUUAUGUAAAGCUCUAUCAGCAGGGACGAAAAUGACGGUACCUGAGUAAGAAGCCACGGCUAACUACGUGCCAGCAGCCGCGGGAAUACGUAGGGGGCAAGCGUAAUCCGGAUUUACUGGGUGUAAAGGGGGCGUAGACGGCAGUGCAAGUCUGGAGUGAAAGGCGGGGGCUCAAACCCCGGACUGCUCUUGAGACUGUACGGCUGGAGUGCAGGAGAGGUAAGUGGAAUUCCUAGUGUAGCGGUGAAAUGCGUAGAUAUUAGGAGGAACACCAGUGGCGAAGGCGGCUUACUGGACUGUAACUGACGUUGAGGCUCGAAAGCGUGGGGAGCAAACAGGAUUAGAUACCCCUGUAGUC
RNAcentral lists this ribosomal RNA (440 nucleotides) under uncultured bacterium. RNAcentral's name for it is "partial 16S ribosomal RNA". It matches the Rfam family "Bacterial small subunit ribosomal RNA", at positions 338 to 795 of the family's 1533-position model. The record is from RNAcentral.